RNAcentral lists this ribosomal RNA (368 nucleotides) under uncultured organism. Its description in RNAcentral is "bacterial SSU rRNA". It matches the Rfam family "Bacterial small subunit ribosomal RNA", at positions 526 to 896 of the family's 1533-position model. The record is from RNAcentral.
CGUAGGAUCCGAGCGUUGUCCGGAUUUACUGGGUGUAAAGGGUGCGCAGGCGGACUGGUAAGUCAGUGGUGAAAUCUCGUCGCUUAACGACGAAACUGCCUUUGAUACUAUCAGUCUUGAGUCCGGUAGAGAUCUGUGGAAUUCCGAGUGUAGCAGUGAAAUGUGUAGAUAUUCGGAAGAACACCAGUGGCGAAGGCAGCAGAUUGGGCCGGUACUGACGCUCAUGCACGAAAGCGUGGGGAUCAAACAGGAUUAGAUACCCUAGUAGUCCACGCCCUAAACGAUGUACACUUGAUGUCGGCCUGUAAGGGUCGGUGUCGGAGCUAACGCGUUAAGUGUACCACCUGGGGAGUACGCUCGCAAGGGUG